AUGGAACGCUGGCGGCAUGCCUUACACAUGCAAGUCGAACGGCAGCGGACCUUCGGGUGCCGGCGAGUGGCGAACGGGUGAGUAAUAUAUCGGAACGUACCUUUCAGUGGGGGAUAACGUAGCGAAAAGUUUACGCUAAUACCGCAUAUUCUGUGAGCAGGAAAGCAGGGGAUCGCAAGACCUUGCGCUGAUUGANCGGCCGAUAUCAGAUUAGCUAGUUGUGAGGUAAAGGCUNACCAAGGCGACGAUCUGUAGCGGGUCUGAGAGGAUGAUCCGCCACACUGGAACUGAGACACGGUCCAGACUCCUACGGGAGGCAGCAGUGGGGAAUUUUGGACAAUGGGCGCAAGCCUGAUCCAGCCAUGCCGCGUGAGUGAAGAAGGCCUGGUUGUAAGA
RNAcentral lists this ribosomal RNA (396 nucleotides) under uncultured bacterium. Its description in RNAcentral is "bacterial SSU rRNA". It matches the Rfam family "Bacterial small subunit ribosomal RNA", at positions 31 to 430 of the family's 1533-position model. The record is from RNAcentral.